Molecule: ribosomal RNA, 484 nt
Filed under: uncultured bacterium
Lineage: Bacteria
Description: bacterial SSU rRNA
Rfam family: Bacterial small subunit ribosomal RNA
Source: RNAcentral
GACGAACGCUGGCGGCGUGCUUAACACAUGCAAGUCGAACGGGAGGAAAAGAGAAGCUUGCUUCUUUUUGAAUCUAGUGGCAAACGGGUGAGUAACACGUAAACAACCUGCCUUCAGGAUGGGGACAACAGACGGAAACGACUGCUAAUACCGAAUGUGUUCCGGAGACCGCAUGAUUUCCGGAAGAAAGGAUGGCCUCUAUUUAUAAGCUAUCGCCUGAAGAGGGGUUUGCGUCUGAUUAGGCAGUUGGUGAGGUAACGGCCCACCAAACCUACGAUCAGUAGCCGGUCUGAGAGGAUGAACGGCCACACUGGAACUGAGACACGGUCCAGACUCCUACGGGAGGCAGCAGUGGGGAAUCUUCCGCAAUGGACGAAAGUCUGACGGAGCAACGCCGCGUGAGUGAUGACGGCCUUCGGGUUGUAAAGCUCUGUGAUCGGGGACGAAUGGCUGGUAUGCUAAUACCAUAUCAGAGUGACGGUAC